This 232-nucleotide ribosomal RNA is filed under the name uncultured bacterium. RNAcentral's name for it is "partial 16S ribosomal RNA". It matches the Rfam family "Bacterial small subunit ribosomal RNA", at positions 99 to 334 of the family's 1533-position model. The record is from RNAcentral.
CGGACGGGUGAGUAAUGUCUGGGAAACUGCCUGAUGGAGGGGGAUAACUACUGGAAACGGUAGCUAAUACCGCAUAAUGUCUACGGACCAAAGCGGGGGACCUCCGGGCCUCGCGCCAUCAGAUGAACCCAUAUGGGAUUAGCUAGUAGGUGAGGUAACGGCUUACCUAGGCGACGAUCCCUAGCUGGUCUGAGAGGAUGAUCAGCCACACUGGGACUGAGACACGGCCCAG